CAGUAGCCGCGGUAAUACGGAGGGUGCAAGCGUUAAUCGGAAUUACUGGGCGUAAAGCGCACGCAGGCGGUCUGACAAGUCAGAUGUGAAAUCCCCGGGCUUAACCUGGGAACUGCAUUUGAAACUGUCAGGCUGGAGUCUUGUAGAGGGGGGUGGAAUUCCAGGUGUAGCGGUGAAAUGCGUAGAGAUCUGGAGGAAUACCGGUGGCGAAGGCGGCCCCCUGGACAAAGACAGACGCUCAGGUGCGAAAGCGUGGGGAGCAAACAGGAUUAGAUACCCCGGUAGUCCCUGUCUCUUAUAC
RNAcentral lists this ribosomal RNA (301 nucleotides) under uncultured bacterium. RNAcentral's name for it is "partial 16S ribosomal RNA". It matches the Rfam family "Bacterial small subunit ribosomal RNA", at positions 509 to 807 of the family's 1533-position model. The record is from RNAcentral.